This 482-nucleotide ribosomal RNA is filed under the name uncultured bacterium. RNAcentral describes it as "partial 16S ribosomal RNA". It matches the Rfam family "Bacterial small subunit ribosomal RNA", at positions 28 to 507 of the family's 1533-position model. The record is from RNAcentral.
GACGAACGCUGGCGGCGUGCUUAACACAUGCAAGUCGAACGACGAAGCAGAGAAACGCGGACUUCGGUUCUAAUUUCACUUCGGAUUAGUGGCAGACGGGCGAGUAACGCGUUUGCAACCUACCUCUUACAAAGGGAUAGCCUCUGGAAACCGUGAUUAAUACCAUAUGACACAUUCAUAAGGUAUCUUAAGAAUGUUAAAGGUACGGCGGUAAAGGAUGGGCUCGCGUCCCAUUAGCUAGCUGGUGAGGUCACGGCCCCCGAAGGCGUCGAUGGGUAACCGGGAAGAGAGGGAGGGCCGUCACAUUGAAGCUGAGACGCAGUCCGGAAUCCUACGGGAGGGGGCAAUGGGUGAUAUUGCAAAAUGGAGGGAGCUCUGAUGGAGCGACGCCGGGUGAGCGAUGAAGGAAUUCGUGAAAUGAAGCUCUUUUCUAUGGGAAGAAAAGGACGGUACCAUAGGAGAAAGCCCCGGCUAAAUACGUG